Molecule: ribosomal RNA, 467 nt
Filed under: uncultured bacterium
Lineage: Bacteria
Description: partial 16S ribosomal RNA
Rfam family: Bacterial small subunit ribosomal RNA
Source: RNAcentral
GACGAACGCUGGCGGCGUGCUUAACACAUGCAAGUCGAACGGAAAGGCCUCUUUCGGGGGGUACUCGAGUGGCGAACGGGUGAGUAACACGUGAGUAACCUGCCCUUGAUUUUGGGAUAACUUCAGGAAACUGGGGCUAAUACCGGAUAGGAGCUCCUGCUGCAUGGUGGGGGUUGGAAAGUUUCGGCGGUUGGGGAUGGACUCGCGGCUUAUCAGCUUGUUGGUGGGGUAGUGGCUUACGAUGGCUUUGUCGGGUAGCCGGCCUGGGAGGGUGACCGGCCAGAUUGGGACUGAAAUACGGCCCAGACUCCUACGGGAGGCAGCGGUGGUGAAUAUUGCACAAUGGGUGGAAGCCUGAUGCAGCAACGCCGUGUGCGGGAUGACGGCCUUCGGGUUGUGAACCGCUUUCGCUCAUGACGAAGCUUUGUGUGACGGUAGUGGGUAAAGAAGCACCGGCUAACUACGUG